This 468-nucleotide ribosomal RNA is filed under the name uncultured bacterium. RNAcentral's name for it is "partial 16S ribosomal RNA". It matches the Rfam family "Bacterial small subunit ribosomal RNA", at positions 28 to 507 of the family's 1533-position model. The record is from RNAcentral.
GACGAACGCUGGCGGCGUGCUUAACACAUGCAAGUCGAACGGAAAGGCCCUGCUUUUGUGGGGUGCUCGAGUGGCGAACGGGUGAGUAACACGUGAGUAACCUGCCCUUGACUUUGGGAUAACUUCAGGAAACUGGGGCUAAUACCGGAUAGGAGCUCCUGCUGCAUGGUGGGGGUUGGAAAGUUUCGGCGGUUGGGGCUGGUCUCGAGGCUUAUCAGCUUGUUGGUGGGGUAGUGGCUUACCAAGGCUUUGACGGGUAGCCGGCCUGAGAGGGUGACCGGCCACAUUGGGCCUGCGAUACGGCCCAGACUCCUACGGGAGGCAGCAGUGGGGAAUAUUGCGCAAUGGGCGGAAGCCUGAUGCAGCAACGCCGCGUGCGGGAUGACGGCCUUCGGGUUGUAAACCGCUUUCGCCUGUGACGAAGCGUGAGUGACGGUAAUGGGUAAAGAAGCACCGGCUAACUACGUG